RNAcentral lists this long non-coding RNA (687 nucleotides) under Cyanistes caeruleus (blue tit). RNAcentral describes it as "lncRNA (ENSCCEG00000013689.1)". The record is from RNAcentral. Lineage: Eukaryota; Metazoa; Chordata; Aves; Passeriformes; Paridae.
AUGGGCCCUGUCCCCAGCCAGGGACAUCACAAGGACCAUGACCCAGGCCCUCAGAAGCAGGAUAGACCCUGUCCCCAGCCAGGGACAUCACAAGGACCAUGACCCAGGCCCUCAGAAGAAGGGUAGGCCCUGUCCCCGUCCUUCGUUUAAAUGGAGCUGUGUGUGGAAGGCCCUGUGCCUUAAGUACCUUGAUUGCUUCCACAUGAGGUGCUAGCUUUGUUCUCCCAAAACAGUUUUUGAGUCUGCAAAGUGAGAAAAUACUUUUCUGGCAUGUUCUUGCUGUGGUCCCCUAAGAAACUUUCACAGAAUUGGAAGCCUGGAACCUUUUUCUGAGUGCCAGGGGCCCCCAGGAGUAUGCAGCCAGCAGCUUUCAGAGUCAGUGGUCAGCCUGAGCAGUCCAUCACUGCAGAGGAGAACACACUGAUUGCUGCAGGACAGGAGCCUGCUCUCAGAGCCUGCUGGCACUCUGAGUGUGUCACCAGUGGAAGCUCUAACGCCUGCAGAAGCUCCUGCCAGGAGCCAUCAGAUGAUUGCAAGAACUUUUCAAUGGUCAUGGCCCAAGGCUAGAACAAAAGCCUUUCACCCCUAAACUGCCUAACUUGAGAAGUACUUGAGAAAGACUGCUAAACUAGCUUCUGUUUCUCUUAUUUAAAUAAAGAUAUUAUGUAUCUUUAUUUAUUUAUUGAU